AUUGAACGCUGGCGGCAUGCCUUACACAUGCAAGUCGAACGGUAACGGGCCUUCGGGUGCCGACGAGUGGCGAACGGGUGAGUAAUACAUCGGAACGUGCCCGAUCGUGGGGGUUAACGAGGCGAAAGCUUUGCUAAUACCGCAUACGAUCUACGGAUGAAAGCCUGGGACCGCAAGGCCUUGCGCGGACGGAGCGGCCGAUGGCAGAUUAGGUAGUUGGUGGGAUAAAAGCUUACCAAGCCGACGAUCUGUAGCUGGUCUGAGAGGAUGAUCAGCCACACUGGGACUGAGACACGGCCCAGACUCCUACGGGAGGCAGCAGUGGGGAAUUUUGGACAAUGGGCGCAAGCCUGAUCCAGCCAUGCCGCGUGCAGGAUGAAGGCCUUCGGGUUGUAAACUGCUUUUGUACGGAACGAAAAGCCUUCUUUUAAUACAGGAGGGUCAUGACGGUACCGGAAGAAUAAGCACCGGCUAACUACGUG
RNAcentral lists this ribosomal RNA (482 nucleotides) under uncultured bacterium. RNAcentral's name for it is "partial 16S ribosomal RNA". It matches the Rfam family "Bacterial small subunit ribosomal RNA", at positions 30 to 507 of the family's 1533-position model. The record is from RNAcentral.